GCCUGAUGACAUUGCCUGAUCACUGUAGAGCCAUACUGAGCCACACUAAUUUCAUUAACCCAGUUCGGUUACUGGCACACGGUCUAGUGACGUAACUAAGAACCUUUGAUCAAUUUCAGCCAGUGUUUUUUGAACGUUGUUGCAAAGGAGGUACGGCGGAUACAAAAGGCACUCCUAUUAAGACAAGGGUCGCUGCAGUAGUGGUCCACAA
Long non-coding RNA from Manduca sexta (tobacco hornworm), 211 nucleotides. RefSeq lists it as uncharacterized. The record is from RefSeq and is a predicted model, not a curated record. The transcript is spliced from 2 exons. Lineage: Eukaryota; Metazoa; Arthropoda; Insecta; Lepidoptera; Sphingidae.